RNAcentral lists this ribosomal RNA (280 nucleotides) under uncultured Lactobacillus sp. Its description in RNAcentral is "partial 16S ribosomal RNA". It matches the Rfam family "Bacterial small subunit ribosomal RNA", at positions 264 to 525 of the family's 1533-position model. The record is from RNAcentral. Lineage: Bacteria; Bacillati; Bacillota; Bacilli; Lactobacillales; Lactobacillaceae.
CCUACCAAGGCGAUGAUACAUAGCCCGAGUUGAGAGACUGAUCGGGCCACAUUGGGGACUGAGACACGGGGCCCAAACUCCUACGGGAGGGCAGCAGUAGGGAAUCUUCCACAAUGGACGCAAGUCUGAUGGAGCAAACGCCGCGUGAGUGAAGAAGGGUUUCGGCUCGUAAAAAGCUCUGUUGUUGGUGAAGAAGGACAGGGGUAGUAACUGACCCUUUGUUUGACGGUAAUCAAUUAGAAAGUCACGGGCUAACUACGUGCCAGCAGCCGCGGUAAAU